This 333-nucleotide ribosomal RNA is filed under the name Triticum aestivum (bread wheat). RNAcentral describes it as "partial small subunit ribosomal RNA". The record is from RNAcentral. Lineage: Eukaryota; Viridiplantae; Streptophyta; Magnoliopsida; Poales; Poaceae.
AUGAUAAGGUUGGCUGACACGGACAAGCCAUGUCUCCAUUUGAUCUAUGAAAUGUGGGAUUCCAUGAUAGAGAAGGUCAAAAUGCCCAUCUAUAGGUUUGAAGGAAAGGAGGAAGGUGACGAGUGUAUCUUGUAUGACAUUAUUAAAGAGAUCCUUAUUUCCCGAUGGACCAAGAGCAAUACCCCUUUACAUUGUCUUGCCCACUCACUAAACCUAAGGUACUAUAGUCCAGCUUGGAUUAAUGAAGUCCCUGGCCGUAUCAGCCCCAAUGAUGACCAUGAAGUUACAGAAAUGAGAAACAAGUGCUUUCAGAAGUUCUAUCCAGAUCAAUAG